UAAUAUCGGAACGUACCCUAGAGUGGGGGAUAACGUAGCGAAAGUUACGCUAAUACCGCAUACGAUCUACGGAUGAAAGCGGGGGAUCGCAAGACCUCGCGCUCAUGGAGCGGCCGAUAUCUGAUUAGCUAGUUGGUAGGGUAAAAGCCUACCAAGGCAUCGAUCAGUAGCUGGUCUGAGAGGACGACCAGCCACACUGGGACUGAGACACGGCCCAG
RNAcentral lists this ribosomal RNA (218 nucleotides) under uncultured bacterium. RNAcentral's name for it is "partial 16S ribosomal RNA". It matches the Rfam family "Bacterial small subunit ribosomal RNA", at positions 113 to 334 of the family's 1533-position model. The record is from RNAcentral.